This 253-nucleotide ribosomal RNA is filed under the name uncultured bacterium. RNAcentral describes it as "partial 16S ribosomal RNA". It matches the Rfam family "Bacterial small subunit ribosomal RNA", at positions 524 to 776 of the family's 1533-position model. The record is from RNAcentral.
UACAGAGGGUGCGAGCGUUGUCCGGAAUCACUGGGCGUAAAGGGCGCGUAGGCGGCCUGAUAAGUAGGGGGUGAAAUCUUGCGGCUCAACCGCAAGGCUGCCUUCUAAACUGUCAGGCUGGAGCACGGUAGAGGCAGAUGGAAUUCCCGGUGUAGCGGUGGAAUGCGUAGAGAUCGGGAAGAACACCAGUGGCGAAGGCGGGUUGCUGGGCUGACACUGACGCUGAGGCGCGAAAGCUAGGGGAGCGAACGGG